RNAcentral lists this ribosomal RNA (919 nucleotides) under uncultured archaeon. RNAcentral describes it as "bacterial SSU rRNA". It matches the Rfam family "Archaeal small subunit ribosomal RNA", at positions 1 to 922 of the family's 1478-position model. The record is from RNAcentral.
UUCCGGUUGAUCCUGCCGGAGGUCAUUGCUAUCGGAGUCCGAUUUAGCCAUGCUAGUCGUGCGAGUUCAGACUCGCGGCAUAUAGCUCAGUAACACGUGGUCAAGCUACCCUACAGAGAACGAUAUCCUCGGGAAACUGAGGCCAAUAGUUCAUAAGGUUCCCAGGCUGGAGUGCCGGGAACUGGAAACGUUCCGACGCUGUAGGAUGCGGCUGCGGUCGAUUAGGUAGACGGUGGGGUAACGGCCCACCGUGCCGAUAAUCGGUACGGGUUGUGAGAGCAAGAGCCCGGAGACGGAAUCUGAGACAAGAUUCCGGGCCCUACGGGGCGCAGCAGGCGCGAAACCUUUACACUGCACGCAAGUGCGAUAAGGGGACUCCGAGUGCGAGGGCAUAUAGUCCUCGCUUUUCUGUACCGUAGGAAGGUACAGGAAUAAGAGCUGGGCAAGACCGGUGCCAGCCGCCGCGGUAAUACCGGCAGCUCAAGUGAUGACCGAUUUUAUUGGGCCUAAAGCGUCCGUAGCUGGCCAGACAAGUCUGUCGGGAAAUCCAUCCGCUCAACGGAUGGGCGUCCGGCGGAAACUCUCUGGCUUGGGACCGGAAGGCUCGAGGGGUACGUCUGGGGUAGGAGUGAAAUCCCGUAAUCCUGGACGGACCACCGAUGGCGAAAGCACCUCGAGAAGACGGAUCCGACAGUGAGGGACGAAAGCUAGGGUCUCGAACCGGAUUAGAUACCCGGGUAGUCCUAGCCGUAAACGAUGUUCGCUAGGUGUGGCACAGGCUACGAGCCUGUGCUGUGCCGUAGGGAAGCCGAGAAGCGAACCGCCUGGGAAGUACGUCCGCAAGGAUGAAACUUAAAGGAAUUGGCGGGGGAGCACUACAACCGGAGGAGCCUGCGGUUUAAUUGGACUCAACGCCGGA